AAGUCGCAACAAGGUUUCCGUAGGGGUGUGUUUCUUCCUCAACUCCGGAGUCCAGCUAACAUUGACAGUGAACCUGCGGAAGGAUCAUUACCGAGUUUUCCUGCUUCAGGAACUCCCACCCUUGACCAUCCGACGUUGCUUCGGCGAGACGUUGGCAACAGCCGUUGGCGGAAGUCAAUUCUGCCGGCGCGGGCUCGCCGGAGUUUAACUCCAAAAUUUGUACUGUCAGAUAAACAAGCAAUAUAAAAAA
Molecule: unclassified non-coding RNA, 250 nt
Filed under: plant metagenome
Description: partial contains small subunit ribosomal RNA and internal transcribed spacer 1
Source: RNAcentral